This 76-nucleotide transfer RNA is filed under the name Desulfurococcus mucosus DSM 2162. RNAcentral describes it as "tRNA-Ala". It matches the Rfam family "tRNA". Rfam says of the family: Transfer RNA (tRNA) molecules are approximately 80 nucleotides in length. Their secondary structure includes four short double-helical elements and three loops (D, anti-codon, and T loops). Further hydrogen bonds mediate the characteristic L-shaped molecular structure. tRNAs have two regions of fundamental functional importance: the anti-codon, which is responsible for specific mRNA codon recognition, and the 3' end, to which the tRNAs corresponding amino acid is attached (by aminoacyl-tRNA synthetases). tRNAs cope with the degeneracy of the genetic code in two manners: having more than one tRNA (with a specific anti-codon) for a particular amino acid; and 'wobble' base-pairing, i.e. permitting non-standard base-pairing at the 3rd anti-codon position. The record is from RNAcentral. Lineage: Archaea; Thermoproteati; Thermoproteota; Thermoprotei; Desulfurococcales; Desulfurococcaceae.
GGGCCGGUAGCUCAGCCUGGAAGAGCGCCGCCCUUGCAUAAGGCGGAGGUCCCGGGUUCAAGUCCCGGCCGGUCCA